GGCCGCGGUAUCCUAACCGCGCGAAGGUAGCAUAAUCACUUGUUCUUUAAAUGGGGACUCGUAUCAACGGCAUCACGAGGGUUAUACUGUCUCCUCUUUUUGAUCAGUGAAAUUGAUCUUCCCGUGAAGAAGCGGGAAUACUUAUAUAAGACGAGAAGACCCCAUGGAGCUUUAAACCAAAUAGCAACUUAACCAUAUAUUGCCCAAUAAUUUUAAGCCCUUGCUACAAGGUUUUUGGUUGGGGUGACCGCGGAGUAAAGCACAUCCUCCACGACGGAAAGACUAUAAUCUUUAUUUAAGAACUACAAUUCUAGAAAUUAGUAUACUAACGUUUACUGACCCGACAAUCGAUCAACGGAACAAGUUACCCUGGGGAUAACAGCGCAAUCUACUUCGAGAGCCCAUAUCGACAAGUAGGCUUACGACCUCGAUGUUGGAUCAGGGUAUCCCAGUGGUGCAGCCGCUACUGAAGGUUCGUUUGUUCAACGAUUAAAACCCUACGUGACU
Molecule: ribosomal RNA, 507 nt
Filed under: Polypedates braueri (Java treefrog)
Lineage: Eukaryota; Metazoa; Chordata; Amphibia; Anura; Rhacophoridae
Description: partial large subunit ribosomal RNA
Rfam family: Bacterial large subunit ribosomal RNA
Source: RNAcentral